RNAcentral lists this ribosomal RNA (1462 nucleotides) under Candidatus Nanohalarchaeota archaeon. RNAcentral describes it as "bacterial SSU rRNA". It matches the Rfam family "Archaeal small subunit ribosomal RNA". Lineage: Archaea; Nanobdellati; Candidatus Nanohalarchaeota. The record is from RNAcentral. RNAcentral also lists the same sequence under 1 other name.
UCCGGUUGAUCCUGCCGGAGGCCACUGCUAUUGGAGUCCGAUUUAGCCAUGCUAGCUGACCGAUUUAGAUCGGAGCGGAAAGCUGAGUAACACGUAGUCAACCUGCCCUAAGGACCAGGACAACCUCGGGAAACUGAGGCUAAUACUGGAUAGGGAAGAAUUGCCUGGAAUGGUGUCUUCUUGAAAUGUUCCGGCGCCUUAGGAUGGGACUGCGGCUGAUUAGGUAUACGCUGAGGUAACUUCUCGGUGUGCCGAUAAUCAGUAGCGGGCGUGAGAGCGCGAGCCGUCAGUCGUGUUCUGAGACAAGAACACGGAUCCUACGGGAUGCAGCAGGCACGAAACCUUUACAAUGCGUGAAAGCGCGAUAGGGGGACUCCAAGUGCUUCUCGUAAACAAAGCGGGAAGCUUUCCUGAACUUUAAGGAGGUUCAGCAACAAGUGGUGGGCAAGACUGCUGCCAGCCGCCGUGGUAAUAGCAGCACCGCGAGUGGUGGCCACGAUUAUUGGGCUUAAAGCGUCCGUAGCCGGCUUCAUAAGUCCGCUGUGAAAUCUGGUAGCUUAACUAUCAGAAGUGCGGUGGAUACUAUGGGGCUUGGGACCGGAAGGCGUCGAGGCUAUUCCUGGAGUAGGGGUGAAAUCCUAAAAUUCCAGGAGGAGCGCCGGUGGCGAAAGCGCUCGGCGAUUACGGAUCCGACGGUGAGGGACGAAAGCCAGGGGAGCAAAGGGGAUUAGAUACCCCUGUAGUCCUGGCCGUUAACGAUGUCCACUUGAUGUAAGGAAUCUUCCGAGGAUUCCUUGUGCCGAAGGAAAACCGUUAAGUGGACCGCCUGGGGAGUACGGUCGCAAGGCUAAAACUUAAAGGAAUUGACGGGGGAGCACCACAAGCGGUGGGGGCUGCGGUUUAAUUAGAUCCAACGCAGCAAACCCUACCAGAGCCGACAGCACAAUGAUGGUCAGCUUGAAGAGCUUACCUGAGGAGCUGAGAGGUGUUGCAUGGCCGCCGUCAGCUCGUGCCGUGAGGUGUCCUCUUAAGUGAGGUAACGAGCGAGACCCGUGUCCUAUGUUGCUACGGUCCUCUCCGGAGGUCCGGCACUCAUAGGAGACCGCUGGUGAUAAAUCAGAGGAAGGAACGGGCGACGGUAGGUCAGUAUGGCCCGAACGCUCUGGGAUACACGCGGCCUACAAUGGCCGGUACAAAGGGAUGCGACUCCGAGAGGAGAAGCUAAACCCCUAAAACCGGUCGUAGUUCGGAUUGAGGCUUGUAACUCAGCCUCAUGAAGGCGAAAUCGCUAGUAGUCGCUAGUCAUUAUCUAGCGGCGAAUACGUCCCUGCUCCUUGUACACACCGCCUGUCAAGUCACCCGAGUUAGUCCCAGGUGAGGUUCUCUCUCUGAGAGGAUCAAAUCUGGAAUUAGCAAGGGGGGCUAAGUCAUAACAAGGUAGCCGUUGGGGAACCAGCGGCUG